GUGAAGGGGGAAUAACUGCCCCG
RNAcentral lists this non-coding RNA (23 nucleotides) under Trypanosoma brucei brucei. The record is from RNAcentral. Lineage: Eukaryota; Euglenozoa; Kinetoplastea; Trypanosomatida; Trypanosomatidae.